RNAcentral lists this ribosomal RNA (815 nucleotides) under uncultured Campylobacter sp. Its description in RNAcentral is "bacterial SSU rRNA". It matches the Rfam family "Bacterial small subunit ribosomal RNA", at positions 569 to 1381 of the family's 1533-position model. Lineage: Bacteria; Pseudomonadati; Campylobacterota; Epsilonproteobacteria; Campylobacterales; Campylobacteraceae. The record is from RNAcentral.
GCGUAGGCGGAUUAUCAAGUCUCUUGUGAAAUCUAAUGGCUUAACCAUUAAACUGCUUGGGAAACUGAUAGUCUAGAGUGAGGGAGAGGCAGAUGGAAUUGGUGGUGUAGGGGUAAAAUCCGUAGAUAUCACCAAGAAUACCCAUUGCGAAGGCGAUCUGCUGGAACUCAACUGACGCUAAGGCGCGAAAGCGUGGGGAGCAAACAGGAUUAGAUACCCUGGUAGUCCACGCCCUAAACGAUGUACACUAGUUGUUGGGAUGCUAGUCAUCUCAGUAAUGCAGCUAACGCAUUAAGUGUACCGCCUGGGGAGUACGGUCGCAAGAUUAAAACUCAAAGGAAUAGACGGGGACCCGCACAAGCGGUGGAGCAUGUGGUUUAAUUCGAAGAUACGCGAAGAACCUUACCUGGGCUUGAUAUCCUAAGAACCUUUUAGAGAUAAGAGGGUGCUAGCUUGCUAGAACUUAGAGACAGGUGCUGCACGGCUGUCGUCAGCUCGUGUCGUGAGAUGUUGGGUUAAGUCCCGCAACGAGCGCAACCCACGUAUUUAGUUGCUAACGGUUCGGCCGAGCACUCUAAAUAGACUGCCUUCGUAAGGAGGAGGAAGGUGUGGACGACGUCAAGUCAUCAUGGCCCUUAUGCCCAGGGCGACACACGUGCUACAAUGGCAUAUACAAUGAGACGCAAUACCGCGAGGUGGAGCAAAUCUAUAAAAUAUGUCCCAGUUCGGAUUGUUCUCUGCAACUCGAGAGCAUGAAGCCGGAAUCGCUAGUAAUCGUAGAUCAGCCAUGCUACGGUGAAUACGUUCCCGGGUCU